This is a non-coding RNA of Danio rerio (zebrafish), 54 nucleotides long. The record is from Rfam. NCBI's taxonomy places the organism in Eukaryota, Metazoa, Chordata, Actinopteri, Cypriniformes, Danionidae.
UAAGCAUAAUUUUACAUGUCGCUUUGGAUAAAAGCGUCUGCUAAAUGACUAAAU